RNAcentral lists this non-coding RNA (1692 nucleotides) under Betula luminifera. Lineage: Eukaryota; Viridiplantae; Streptophyta; Magnoliopsida; Fagales; Betulaceae. The record is from RNAcentral.
CAGAAUCAUCACAGUAGAACCACAAAGGAUAGAAACCUUUUGUGUUUUGUUCAUAAACUUUAUCGCAAUAAGCUUUAUCAAACACAGGAUAGAAACCUGAGAGGGACCUUUCCUGUUCGAAAGAUUCAUCUCAAACCAAACAGAAAUCUGAGAAAUAGGUGAGAGGGACCUUUCGCUUCAAUUGGAGAGCGUCAGACUCCGAAGGAUCUGAGUGCUUAAAGUCACUUCUAAUAUUGUUUGUUGGUUGUUAGAAGUUGUAAUAAAUACGAAAAGAAGAGAGGCAAAGGAAAAAAAAAAAAAACAGCAAAUAACAGGGCAUUUGCUGCAACACCCAAACACAUUCCUGCAACACUCAAAUAAACACUUUCAUUAUUAUUUAGUGAUAACAUGGCAUUAUCAUAUAACGAAAAUGUCAUUUCCAUUUAAUUGACAGCCAAAUGGGAAGCAGUCCAAAGAAAGCGCAAUCAGGUUGAUGUUUUUCACAGCCAAAAUCUGCAAAAAAAAAAAAAAUCAGUCAAAGAAUCUAUAACUAGUCCUAAGUUUGAGAUUAAUGGAAGAUGCAAAAAUCUAUGGUAAGUGCAGGCUGUACUUGGCCAUCAGGAAACUCCGCUUCGUAAACAGAACCAAGAGAUCCAUCUCCGAGAAGAUUCUCUUCGUUGAAGCUGUUUGUAGCUGAUUGAAGCUCUGCCACAGUAUAAAGUGUUGUUCUUGCUGGGAGCCUGCAUCUUUUUGGGAAACUUCUUCUUCUAGACUUUUUCUAGGUCCUGGCAUGGUAAACAGGAGAUAUCCGCCUUGGACAAUGACCGUGUGGAGAGCUCAAAGACAAGCUUUGUGGGGUUUCUUCUCGAGCAGUUGAAUCGUCUAUUGUCAAGGAAAAACAAAGGAAACAGGAAAAAAAAAUCAUUAAUAAUUAAUCCAUGAGACAAGCAUGCUAAGCUCUGCAGUAAAAGAAAUGAAUUGAAACACAUCCAAAUGGUAAUCCAUUUUCGUGACUUUGGUCUCAAGUAGAAACUCCAUUUCUGAGAAAGUAUAUUCACAUGACAACAUGAUAUAAAUUUAAAUGUGACUAUGUGAGAAGAUGAACAAAAUGAAACAAGGACUCCAUUGAUAUGAAUUAGGGGCUCCAACAAGAACAAAAUGAACCACAUCAAUACAUUCUAUGCACUAAUAAACAUAUUUUUUUCUAGCAUGUUUCUCUUUCUUUAGCUUGACUAAACCCCUAAUAAAAAUAAAUAAAUAAAUAAAUUGCUACUGCGAAAAGGAAAAACAUGAUCAGCACAUAUCCAAACGAAAAGUAAGAAAAAGUUGAAAAGAACAGAAAAGAAGCACAUUUUGCCUAUAUAAGGAGUUGUGGAGGUGUUUCAAAGUCGCUGAAUUGGUAAUCUUGAAAAGCUCCUCCUUAAGGAGGGUCUCCAAUUCAGCAACUUUCAAAACCUCCACAACUCCAACAGCACCGGAACCUUUACAUCAGCUCUUGCUCUUCUUCUUCUUUGAAUGUCGUCGACGGCGAUGGCGCUCCUCCCCGGAGAAAUCUCUCUUUUUCACUCCUUUUUCGAUUCCUUUCACUUUCUUUCGCUCUUCCUCAUCUUCCACUGGAUUUGGGGCAUCAACUCUUCCUUAUUACUCUGUUCGCAGAGGGAUAAUAUAUAGUGAAUUUUUCGACCCUUCUAUGUACGUGAUGAUGACUCUUGA